Molecule: ribosomal RNA, 503 nt
Filed under: uncultured bacterium
Lineage: Bacteria
Description: partial 16S ribosomal RNA
Rfam family: Bacterial small subunit ribosomal RNA
Source: RNAcentral
AUUGAACGCUGGCGGCAGGCUUAACACAUGCAAGUCGAGCGGGGUGCUGGUGCUUGCACUAUCACUUAGCGGCGGACGGGUGCGUAAUGCUUAGGAAUCUGCCUAUUAGUUGGGGACAACAUCUCGAAAGGGAUGCUAAUACCGCAUACGUCCUACGGGAGAAAGCAGGGGAUCACUUGUGACCUUGCGCUAAUAGAUGAGCCUAGGUCGGAUUAGCUAGUUGGUGGGGUAAAGGCCUACCAAGGCGACGAUCUGUAGCGGGUCUGAGAGGAUGAUCCGCCACACUGGGACUGAGACCCGGACCAGACUCCUACGGGAGGCAGCAGUGGGGAAUAUUGGACAAUGGGGGGAACCCUGAUCCAGCCAUGCCGCGUGUGUGAAGAAGGCCUUAUGGUUGUAAAGCACUUUAAGCGAGGAGGAGGCUCUUUUGGUUAAUACCCAAGAUGAGUGGACGUUACUCGCAGAAUAAGCACCGGCUAACUCUGUGCCAGCCGCCGCCGUAA